CCUGCCCCUUCACUCUGGGAUAAGCCUUGGAAACGGGUCUAAUACUGGAUAUUCAUACAUUGUCGCAUGGUGGUGUGUGGAAAGAGUUUUUGGUGGGGGAUGGACUCGCGGCCUAUCAGCUUGUUGGUGAGGUAGUGGCUUACCAAGGCUUUGACGGGUAGCCGGCCUGAGAGGGUGACCGGCCACACUGGGACUGAGACACGGCCCAGACUCCUACGGGAGGCAGCAGUGGGGAAUAUUGCACAAUGGGCGCAAGCCUGAUGCAGCGACGCCGCGUGAGGGAUGACGGCCUUCGGGUUGUAAACCUCUUUCACCAGGGACGAAGCGGAAGUGACGGUACCUGGAGAAGAAGCACCGGCUAACUACGUGC
Molecule: ribosomal RNA, 370 nt
Filed under: uncultured Gordonia sp.
Lineage: Bacteria; Bacillati; Actinomycetota; Actinomycetes; Mycobacteriales; Gordoniaceae
Description: bacterial SSU rRNA
Rfam family: Bacterial small subunit ribosomal RNA
Source: RNAcentral